This is a non-coding RNA of Peptoniphilus indolicus ATCC 29427, 343 nucleotides long. It matches the Rfam family "transfer-messenger RNA". From Rfam's summary of the family: Bacterial tmRNA, also known as 10Sa RNA or SsrA, is named for its dual tRNA and mRNA-like properties. Its role is to liberate the mRNA from a stalled ribosome. NCBI's taxonomy places the organism in Bacteria, Bacillati, Bacillota, Tissierellia, Tissierellales, Peptoniphilaceae. The record is from Rfam.
GGGGGCGAAACUGGUUUCGACGGGGGUUUGGAGCUUACAGUAGCGAGUCGUUUUGAGAACAACGUAAAAGUCUCAAAAAAAAUUAAACGACAAUAACGAAUUAGCGUUUGCUGCCUAAGCGCAGCUCAUCUUCUCUUUGAACCCCGUGGCUUAGAGUAAGGUGUCAAAUUAACGGGACACAAAACUAGGGAAGACAACAUAGCUUAGUGGGUAUUAAUGUUGUUAUAAUUUAAAUACUUUGUUCGUCGAGGAUUUAAAUCGAAUUUAAAUGAUGUAACUGCACUCGGAGAAGCUGUCUGUAAAGGGCUUUCGGACGCGGGUUCGACUCCCGCCGCCUCCACCA